This 253-nucleotide ribosomal RNA is filed under the name uncultured Legionella sp. Its description in RNAcentral is "partial 16S ribosomal RNA". It matches the Rfam family "Bacterial small subunit ribosomal RNA", at positions 524 to 776 of the family's 1533-position model. The record is from RNAcentral. Lineage: Bacteria; Pseudomonadati; Pseudomonadota; Gammaproteobacteria; Legionellales; Legionellaceae.
UACGGAGGGUGCAAGCGUUAAUCGGAAUUACUGGGCGUAAAGCGUGCGUAGGUGGUUAAUUAAGUUAUCUGUGAAAUCCCUGGGCUUAACCUGGGCAGGUCAGAUGAUACUGGUUGACUCGAGUAUGGGAGAGGGUAGUGGAAUUUCCGGUGUAGCGGUGAAAUGCGUAGAGAUCGGAAGGAACACCAGUGGCGAAGGCGGCUACCUGGCCUAAUACUGACACUGAGGCACGAAAGCGUGGGGAGCAAACAGG